RNA transcript from Triticum aestivum (bread wheat), 2233 nucleotides. It is a transcript of the gene named cytosolic Fe-S cluster assembly factor NBP35-like, with no coding region annotated. The record is from RefSeq and is a predicted model, not a curated record. The transcript is spliced from 8 exons. Lineage: Eukaryota; Viridiplantae; Streptophyta; Magnoliopsida; Poales; Poaceae.
AUGGGUCCUUUUUUAGCAAAGGAGAUGUUUGAUGACGAUGGGAUCUGGGAGUGCGGGUACUACUAUGAUGACCGGUACAUCUCGUGCCAUGCUAGACCAUAUAUAUUGGAGAAGCUUGGUUUUGGUUUAGAUGACUUUGAGAAUGUGGAGACGAGGAGGGCUCACUUAAGAACUAAACAUGGUUAUGAAUUUCUGGUUAAGCUAUACAAUGCGGUCAAUCACUCACAUUUCAGUUGCUCUAAUUGGGAAGCUCUCUGCAAGGCAUAUGGAUUUGAGGAGGGAAUGCAAAUAAGAUUUGAUAUUCGUCCCCAAGAUUAUGAUGAUGAUGAUAAUAUCGACAUCUGGGUGGAUGUGGAUAUGCCUCCAGUUUUUACUAGAUCUUAUUUCUUAUCUUCAAGAAAUACUCGGAAGGUUGUAGACAACACAUACUACAACUAUGACUCCAAGCUUAAUUGUGAGGAGAAAGGUUAUCUUGUCUCAUUCAUAGAAGAUGUUGAGGCCUUUAAAACCAAUCACACUAUCAGCCCAAAUUAUACUAGAUACGUGCCACUAGUCCAUAAAUUGCUUAAUGGUAACUUCAUUGCCAAAAACUUGAGGCUCCCGAAGGAGGUUCUGCCUGACUUGAUGUUUAUCGAAGGUGAUAUGCAUUUGGUUAGCUUACGACUAACUCCUUCGAAGGCUUACCACAGUGCAUACCCGAUUUCUUCAAACGAUGGAAUGCUCAAAAUCAAAGAAUGGAGCAAAGUGAUAAAUACGCACACGCAACUAAUUGGAGACAAAAUGAAUGUGCGCAAACCACAAGUUGGAGAUAGGUUUAUCUCCAUUCUCCAUUAUGGAGAUGGACCGGUUUAUCUAUCUUAUGUUCCCCUUCCCGGUCCAAGGAGAGCAACUUCGAGAAGGAGGCGGCGAGGGCGAGCAGGGAGCGGAAGAGAUGGAGAACGGCAGCAGCAAAGGCGACGUCCCGGAGGACGCCAACGCUCAUUGCCCUGGAACACAGUCUGAUGAGGCGGGGAAGGCCGAUUCCUGCGCCGGAUGCCCUAACCAGCAGAUUUGCGCCACCGCCCCCAAGGGCCCCGAUCCUGACUUGGUUGCUAUUGCUGAGCGGAUGGCUACUGUGAAACACAAGAUACUGGUUUUGUCAGGAAAGGGAGGUGUUGGAAAGAGCACAUUUUCAGCCCAGCUCUCAUUUGCCCUAGCUGAAAUGGACCAUCAGGUUGGCCUUCUCGACAUAGACAUAUGUGGCCCUAGCAUCCCGAAAAUGUUAGGCGUUGAAGGCCAGGAUAUUCAUCAGAGCAACCUUGGGUGGUCACCGAUCUACGUUGAGUCCAACCUUGGUGUCAUGUCGAUUGGUUUUAUGCUGCCUAACCCAGAUGAUGCGGUCAUAUGGAGGGGUCCUCGCAAGAACAGAUUGAUCAAACAGUUCCUCAAGGAUGUUGACUGGGGUGAGAUUGACUACCUUGUAGUGGAUGCACCCCCUGGAACAUCAGACGAGCACAUCUCAAUCGUCCAGUACCUACAAGCCACCGAAGUUGAUGGCGCGAUAAUCGUGACGACCCCGCAGCAAGUCUCUCUAAUUGACGUGAGGAAGGAAAUCAAUUUCUGCAAGAAGGUGGGUGUGCCGGUGCUGGGCGUUGUGGAGAACAUGAGUGGCCUGAGGCAGGCGUUCACAGACCUCAAGUUCGUAAAGCCAGGUCCCGCAGGGGAGACGGAUGCCACGGAGUGGGCGAUGAACUACAUCAAGGAGAAGGCUCCGGAGCUUUUGUCGGUCGUGGCCUGCAGCGAGGUGUUUGACAGCAGCAAGGGUGGCGCAGAGAAGAUGUGCCAUGAGAUGGGGGUCCCUUUCCUCGGCAAGGUGCCGAUGGACCCGCAGCUGUGCAAGGCAGCUGAGGAAGGGAGGUCGUGCUUCGCCGAUCAGAGGUGCAGCGCCAGUGCGCCGGCUCUGAAAAGCAUCAUCGACAAGCUGAUCAAAACCAAGUAAGCAGACAGUGUUUGUGCCUGUUGGAGAAGUACCACUAGUCAAAAAUGUUACGAUGAUAUCUGGGGAGUCUCGUUGUACAAUUGCUUGUUACACGCCCGAGUGGCUUUCACUCUGUCCUUAGUUUCCUAAAGCCUUUUGGCUUGUGUAUCCGUUUUUUUUUCCAGAAAUAUUGAGCGUUAAUGCGAUAGAGGCUGAAAUUGCUGAAAUUACAGACUUCCGGCUUGCAGAUUUUAAUUGUUUUGGCUUUGGAAAUAA